This is a long non-coding RNA of Stylophora pistillata, 1419 nucleotides long. NCBI's taxonomy places the organism in Eukaryota, Metazoa, Cnidaria, Anthozoa, Scleractinia, Pocilloporidae. The record is from RefSeq and is a predicted model, not a curated record.
UUGGCCCUCACUUGAGCUUCCGUCUAUGAUGGCGUUAUUUUCUGUCUUGUGAUUAGCGAUUUGUAGCCAGCUGUGACGCACUUUGAAAUCAUUUGGUGCGAGUUCGGUAGAAGAUAGGGAAUGGUAAACCCAAACGAUUCGAGUUCUUUUGAAGUCACUAUCAGUGAUAAAGAGUGGUGAAUAGGUCUUUUGCAAUAGUUUGCCACGUGAUCGAUUAUCCCUUAGUGAUGCCAUAUCAGGUGGCAAGCUAUCCAGACCAUGCUUAGCAACCAACAAAGCUUGGCGGCUGGGAGAAAAACAAAAGCAAUGUAAUCCCUUUAUCAGUAUUUAUUUGUGAAUAGGUGUCAAAAGAACUAAGGCAAUAUCGCUGAAUAAUUUAUGUUAACAUCUCUUGCAAUUUUAGAAUAAAUUAAUCGUCAUGGGCAGCAUUUCGCGCUUGCGCAGUUUUAUCACGGGCUCGAUCGGAAAGCCAUCAAUGGCGGGGGUUUUAGGCAUAAAACAUCAAUGCGAUUACCUACGUUUGCCCCUCUGUUAACUGUUUUGCAAACCUUGGCGUCCUAUGAAUAGAGAUUUGAAGGAUAGCUUGUUGAAAGGCAUAGAAUCAAGUGAUAUUAGCAGAUUUCCAGAUAUCUCUUUCGCUAAAGUUCAACGUUAUGCGCCGGGCUGUGAACAUACAAGGAAAGCUUACAAGUUUUUCGCUGAGCCCGGGUACAUCCACGAUAAGAAAGGUCACUACUCUGUGGAACAAGCUUGGGUGUGAUUACCAUCAGCCAGGUUUUAUUGGUCUAAGAAGGAAAGUGAGUUUCCACAUACCUUGAGUGUUGUUGUUGGGUUAGAAGAUAAAACCGUCAGCGGAAGCUGUUCCUGUGUGGCAGGAGCAAGUGGAUUCUGCGGCUUGGUCAUAAGGCACUGCGAGACGAGCGCACAUGUGCAAGCCCUCCACAGAUGUGUAGUGUUCCUUGUUAGCCGCAAAAUUGUUAACAAGGCAAUUCAGGACAUAAUGGUAAAGAAACCACAACCGUGGGUAUAUUACGAUACGUUUGUAAAGAAUGCCUUAUACUCUCCUACAACAAUUUAUCUUCUCUUGACCACCGAAAUGGUGUCUUCUUUGCAAUCACAACCACUUUUGGCAACGACAUUGCUAGAACCAAGCAGAAUACGGUUAAUAUCUCCAGUUGCUACUUUAUUUGGCAAUGUAACGCAAGGCAGCAUCGGCAAAAACUAACAAAAGCGUACGUAAUUAGCGACUAUUUCUGCACAUUUUUCCCUGACCUCCCGCUUGAAACAGCUGGUGUAAGGUUCUCCAAUAACAUUUCAGCUUGCUAACUUGGAUUCUCUAAAGUACCCCUGAGACGAAAAUUGACCAUUUUAUUUUGGCUUAAAUUGUUUACACAAUGUUGAAUUGGGUCAAGUUAAGAC